AUGAGUCGUGCCUCGUAUUCGUGUUUCCCAGCACAUUGUUUUACAUGUAGACUCCUCUUCUUGAAAUCUCAUGCACACUGCAUUUCCUACAGACAGCCCAAGGAAGACUCCUGCUUUCCCAGAGGCCGUACUACAGGGUUUGGCAUCUCCUGGAAGGCCGGGAAACCUUUUGGAGGCUUUACUUUUGAUGGAGCAUUGGAAUACAAUGCUUGGAAAAGAAAGCAAACCAUCUUCUGUCAUGAGAUCAAGGAGGGGACUGCUGGUCACCAUCUUUUGCCCCUACCGACAAUGCAUUAUGCUCAGCUCCUCCGUUUUCCGUUGCUGCUAUAGGACUGGCUGGAGCAGUUGACAGAUGUUUAGAGGAUUUCUUGUCUCUGGACCAGCGCUUCAUCUGUUCCAAGUUAUUCAAAACACAAACAGGGGGUUGGCAGGAGUGAAACCUGCUCAGAACUGCGACGUCAAAACAGAAAUAUAUUUUUAAAAAGACAAGUGUCAAAAAAACAAGUGUUUGUGCGGUUUAUAGCAAGAUGUAUUUAAAUGGUUGAGAUUUUCUUCUUUUAACCCCUUGUACUCCCACCUGAAAUGACAUUCUUCAAUACCUACAGCAGUUUUCCUGCUUAAAUGUACUAGCUAAUAACAUAAUUUGGGACUAUCUUGUCAAGUGUACUGUUGUAAAGCUGUAGUGUGAUCCUGCAAAUGCCAUGAGCAAUACUGUUGAACAGAGUGGUGGAGGGGGCAUUUAGUGAGAAAUAAAAAAACAGAGAGGGGUGAGGGAGAGAUAGGG
Molecule: long non-coding RNA, 784 nt
Filed under: Anser cygnoides (Swan goose)
Lineage: Eukaryota; Metazoa; Chordata; Aves; Anseriformes; Anatidae
Description: lncRNA (ENSACDG00005015344.1)
Source: RNAcentral